Molecule: ribosomal RNA, 807 nt
Filed under: Triticum aestivum (bread wheat)
Lineage: Eukaryota; Viridiplantae; Streptophyta; Magnoliopsida; Poales; Poaceae
Description: partial small subunit ribosomal RNA
Source: RNAcentral
CCGUGCCUCGCCUUCCACCACGGCGCGGGUCGACCCACGGUGACCUUCGAUGUGUCGGAGAAAAAGCCAAUCGCCGGCUACAUCGACGAGCUGGAGAACAAGGAGAUCUGUCCAGCCACGCACGGCUUUAUGCUAGCCAGGUGCCCUGCCUCCAUGUCCACCUUCCUGUGGACUCCCCAGAGCCGCGCAAGAUCGAGCUGCCGCCGUUGCCUCGAGCCUUACGCCACCUUCAUAUGGUACUGUCACAUCGGAGACGAUCAGUGGCGAAAACACGACUAUGACAUCGGAACCCAGCCGGCCCUCGACCUGCAGUCCGAGGACAAAGAGGUCAUAACUCCGAUUGCGGCAUGUGGGGGCAAGUUUUAUUUCAACAGCACACAAAUCGAGCUUGGUGUUCUUGAUUUCUGCCCUGCUCCCGUAUUCAGUUCCAUCAAGAUCAACGACGUGGUCGAUGAUAUCUACGUUUUUCUGGUGGAAUCGGACGGGGAGCUCUAUAUGGUUUCCCUGUUAUGGGCGGAAACAAUUUAUGGUGCAAGAGUUCAUAGGAUGGAUUUCUCAAAGCAGAGAUGGAGAAAAGUGUAUGAUCUUGGUGAUCGAACGUUCCUAUUGUCCCUGUUCAACUUUGGUGCUCUCUGCUCUGUCGGCAAGUCUGGACUGCGAGAGAACUGCAUCUACAUGGCGUAUCCUUGGGAGCAGACCGUGCACAUUUUCAGUGUAAAAGAUGGUAGUAUGGAGACGCACAAGCUGGAUGAUGCUCCCUCCUCAGAUAAAGCAUUCUGGAUGCUCCCUGCCAAUCAUAUAGAUUAG